CGGCCCCGCAGCUGUCUUCCAUGGGCGUCGUCGGCUCGUCACUCCUCAUUCUCUCCGCGGCGUCUGCGUUCCAGGGAGAAACCGUAUUAUUUGGAAUGGCAAAAAAUUGGAAACAUGGAACGCCUGCCGGCUGGAGAAUGCAGAGUAAACAAUGGGUGUUCACACCAGGGAAUACUGUGCAGCCAUUCAAAGGAUGGAAUGGAAUUCUGCUAGAAGACCUAAAGCGAUUUCUGUUGGAACUCUUCAGGGAGAAAAGCUAGAUGAAGAAAAGUAUAUAUAAAGGAUAUCAUUAUUAUUAAAUAAUAUAUAGAUCUGUGUCAGGUAUAUAAAGAUUUUAUGUAUAUCUGAAGAAAAAUAAGGAAGGAGAUACACUGUUGGUUAAGGGACGGUUGAGGGUGUGGCAGCUAGUGUGAAAGGAGAAAGGGAAGCAGUCAACACAAAAGAGAAAUAAGGGACUAGGAAAGCAUGUGCAUCUGUGGACACAUUUAGGUAGAUUAUGUAUACCACAGCAUCUACACAUAUGUGGGGAGCAAGAUGGAGUCACUCAUGUGAGGCAAGGAUGUAAUGAAUCAGGAAAGCAGACAAGGGUGAAGAGCUGAGAACAGAUACUGCUAGAACUGUUAACAGCCUGGGGGUACCCAGAACUGAUAACCAGCAAAGCCAAGAGAGCCUGGAAGAACUGAGAAUUGAUAAUCAUUAGACCCAGAAGAAGUCUGAAAGGGCUAGACUGAUCAAACUCCUUUAAAAUGGGAAGAUUUUCAUAGCAAACCCCCGGAUUCUCUAGACGCUGACCCUUCCAUGUCUCACUGCAUCAGGCAACUGCCACCGAAGGCUCUGCCUGUUUCAUCUCCGAAAGUGACAGAGAUCCUUCACUGCUUGAACACAGUAAGCAGGAAGCUCAGAGUGGAUCCACACUGGUCAAGGCCUCAUCGCAACUGUGUGCUCAUGUACGGACUUUGCUUUCAUUCAUUAACUUACCCCUUACUGUAUCUUUUUUGUUUUGUGUGUCAUGUACGACACCAAGUUAAAUGCGUGUUGGAAUGUCUUUGAAUUUGGAAUUCUGAAUCUGCUUUACAAUUAUGUUAACCUUGCUUUAUGAUUAAAUAAAUAAAGCUAGCAUUGUGGGAAGA
This is a long non-coding RNA of Hyaena hyaena (striped hyena), 1130 nucleotides long. RefSeq lists it as uncharacterized. The record is from RefSeq and is a predicted model, not a curated record. The transcript is spliced from 2 exons. NCBI's taxonomy places the organism in Eukaryota, Metazoa, Chordata, Mammalia, Carnivora, Hyaenidae.